UAACACUGUACUGGAGUGACGUUCUCAUA
RNAcentral lists this non-coding RNA (29 nucleotides) under Xenopus tropicalis (tropical clawed frog). Lineage: Eukaryota; Metazoa; Chordata; Amphibia; Anura; Pipidae. RNAcentral also lists the same sequence under 1 other name. The record is from RNAcentral.